AACCAUUCCAUGAUUUUAUGAUGCUUAGCUCCUGUCAUAAAGUUGGGGUUCUCUUCCCACCACUCCCAUCAAAGGGAUGCUGGGAGAGAGCUGGAAAUGGAGGAAUUUUUAGCAGUUUCUCCCUGUGCAUUUAAGCACCUGCUUCCAUCUUUCCCCUUUCCUGGGAGUAAAGCUUGGGCUCAGCACCACAAAGCAAUCACUGCAGCGGGACAAACCAAACCAGGAGCCUCCCCUCAGAGUGCAGCACGGUCUGGGGCUCUGCUUAUCCUAGGUUCAUUUUUCAGUGGGUUAGUGCUGGAGCUGGAAAUCCCUUUCCAAAAGGGAAUUAAGAAGCCCUGCCUCCAGCUGGGAAGCUGCUGGAGAGAACAAACACACAGCAGUGCACAAAUCAGGAGGAAACUGGUAACAGAGUUGGAGCUCGACUUCCAGACAGAUCUCAGGGGAUGGUGUUGA
This 453-nucleotide long non-coding RNA is filed under the name Cyanistes caeruleus (blue tit). Its description in RNAcentral is "lncRNA (ENSCCEG00000020427.1)". The record is from RNAcentral. Lineage: Eukaryota; Metazoa; Chordata; Aves; Passeriformes; Paridae.